UUAAGCAUAUCAAUAAGCGGAGGAAAAGAAACUAACAAGGAUUCCCCUAGUAACGGCGAGUGAAGCGGGAAGAGCUCAAAUUUGAAAUCUGGUGGCCUCAGGUCAUCCGAGUUGUAAUCUAUAGAAGUGUUUUCCGUGCUGGCUCAUGUACAAGUCCCUUGGAACAGGGCGUCAUAGAGGGUGAGAAUCCCGUCCUUGACAUGAACUACCAGUGCUCUGUGAUACAUUUUCAACGAGUCGAGUUGUUUGGGAAUGCAGCUCAAAAUGGGUGGUAAAUUCCAUCUAAAGCUAAAUAUUGGCGAGAGACCGAUAGCGAACAAGUACCGUGAGGGAAAGAUGAAAAGCACUUUGGAAAGAGAGUUAAACAGUAUGUGAAAUUGUUGAAAGGGAAACGAUUGAAGUCAGUCGUGCUCUUUGGAUUCAGCCGGUUCUGCCGGUGUACUUCCUUUGAGUGGGGUCAACAUCAGUUUUGAUCGCUGGAUAAAGGCUGGAGGAACGUAGUACCCUCGGGUAAACUUAUAGCCUCCUGUCACAUACAGUGGUUGGGACUGAGGAACGCAGCACGCCUUUAUGGCCGGGAUUCGUCCACGUACGUGCUUAGGAUGUUGACAUAAUGGCUUUAAACGACCCG
Molecule: ribosomal RNA, 631 nt
Filed under: Filobasidium floriforme
Lineage: Eukaryota; Fungi; Basidiomycota; Tremellomycetes; Filobasidiales; Filobasidiaceae
Description: LSU rRNA
Rfam family: Eukaryotic large subunit ribosomal RNA
Source: RNAcentral